UGGGGAAUUUUGGACAAUGGGCGCAAGCCUGAUCCAGCCAUGCCGCGUGCGGGAAGAAGGCCUUCGGGUUGUAAACUGCUUUUGUACGGAACGAAAAAGCUUCUCCUAAUACGAGAGGCCCAUGACGGUACCGUAAGAAUAAGCACCGGCUAACUACGUGCCAGCAGCCGCGGUAAUACGAAGGGGGCUAGCGUUGUUCGGAAUUACUGGGCGUAAAGCGCACGUAGGCGGGUAUUUAAGUCAGGGGUGAAAUCCCGGAGCUCAACUCCGGAACUGCCUUUGAUACUGGGUACCUAGAGUAUGGAAGAGGUGAGUGGAAUUCCGAGUGUAGAGGUGAAAUGCGUAGAUAUGCGGAGGAACACCGAUGGCGAAGGCAAUCCCCUGGGCCUGCACUGACGCUCAUGCACGAAAGCGUGGGGAGCAAACA
This 427-nucleotide ribosomal RNA is filed under the name uncultured bacterium. Its description in RNAcentral is "bacterial SSU rRNA". It matches the Rfam family "Bacterial small subunit ribosomal RNA", at positions 355 to 774 of the family's 1533-position model. The record is from RNAcentral.